GGCGGGGCGCGAGGCAGCCGCCGGCGCGCUCGACGCGCAGGAGGAAAGUCCGGGCUUCACGGGACCGGGACGGUGGGUAACGCCCACCCCCUCGCGCAAGCGGGGGAGGGACAGUGCCACAGAAAACAUACCGCCCCGAGCGAGGGCCGCGAGGCCCUCGUCGAGGGGUAAGGGUGAAAAGGUGCGGUAAGAGCGCACCGCUCCGCGGGUGACCGCGGAGGCACGGCAAACCCCGUCCGGAGGAAGGCCAAAUGAGGGGGAGGACGCGGCCGCAAGGCCACGGACCCGGCGCGGCACCCGGCCGGAUUCCCCCUGGGUAGGCCGUUCGAGCCCAUCCGCGAGGGUGGGCCUAGAGGAAUGGCUGCCGCCCGACGGUCGGCGACGAUCGACGGGACAGGACCCGGCUUAUAGCGCCCUGUCGUUU
This 424-nucleotide RNase P RNA is filed under the name Planctomycetota bacterium. RNAcentral's name for it is "Planctomycetes bacterium (groundwater metagenome) RNase P RNA component class A". It matches the Rfam family "Bacterial RNase P class A". From Rfam's summary of the family: Ribonuclease P (RNase P) is a ubiquitous endoribonuclease, found in archaea, bacteria and eukarya as well as chloroplasts and mitochondria. Its best characterised activity is the generation of mature 5'-ends of tRNAs by cleaving the 5'-leader elements of precursor-tRNAs. Cellular RNase Ps are ribonucleoproteins. The record is from RNAcentral. Lineage: Bacteria; Pseudomonadati; Planctomycetota.